CCGUUCAGUUCGUAUUUAGACGUGCGUGCGGCAGGAACAACUCGGCACUUGAGAGCCCAGCAAAAGAACGCUUCGCGCUGGCCACAAUUACUGGCGAGGGCCACCAAGUGGGCAAUAGUUGAAGAGUGUUAAUAAGCCAGCGAGUGUCUCGGAGUGCGUAGUGCGCGGAACACGUGCAUGUCCCAAAGUGGCUGGGAUUACUGGAAGACAGUCUGUCGAGCGACAGUGUGUGUGCGAUUGUGUGUGUGUGUGUGUGUGUGUGUAAAGUGUGUUAAACAAAUUAUUUACGAAACACUUACAAGUGCUUCACGCAAAAGGAUUUCAUAUACUGCCAGCCGCAAGUUUUGCUUGAAGGAUUAAAGCAUCUCCCACAGGACGAGUCAAAGCACCAAAAGGAUAUGCAAAGCAAACCAAAGGAUGCGGAUGAGUUAUUCUGGUCUUCGCCCUAAUUAAAAAGCAUUUCGCGUUGUGUUUUUGUCUAGUGCCAUGGUCUUAUAAAGUGAAUUUAAACAUAAAGUAAAUUGAGUGGCUAAUUGAAAUUAACUUGGGCAUGCGGCUGCUGUUACCACAACUGUUGCAUGCAACAUGGAUGGCGAAAAUCGGAUUAUAUUAAAUGUGGGCGGCAUUAGAUAUGAAACCUAUAAGGCAACGCUCAAGAAAAUACCCGCAACGCGCCUCUCACGUCUGACCGAAGCCUUGGCCAAUUAUGAUCCGGUGCUCAACGAGUAUUUCUUCGAUCGCCAUCCCGGAGUCUUUACGCAAAUACUCAAUUAUUACAGAACUGGUAAGCUGCAUUAUCCGACAGACGUCUGUGGCCCACUGUUUGAGGAGGAGCUAGAGUUUUGGGGACUCGAUUCGAAUCAGGUAGAACCAUGCUGCUGGUCAACUUAUAGCAUACAUCGCGAUACGCAAAACACCUUAGCUAUAUUAGAUAAACUAGAUAUUGAAAAUGAGAAACCCACGGAGGAGCAAAUAGCACGUCUGUUUGGCUUCGAGGAGGCUUUAAGCAACGGCGAGCUUAACUGUUGGCAACGUCUAAAGCCCAAAAUUUGGGCCAUGUUCGAUGAGCCGUCGAGCUCAACGGGCGCCAAGUUUGUUGCUGGCAUGUCGGUAUUCUUUAUAUUUGUUUCUGUGAUAUCAUUCUGCCUGAAAACCCAUCCCGGUUUUCGCGUGGACCUGCCCACCAGCUACAGCGCCGGCCUGCCUGCGUCUGGCCAUGAUCCGCUGGCGCCGCCCAUACCUCAGCAGCCGGUGCAACAGUCCCAGUCGCAGCCGCAUCAUCAUUCGCAGCAGCAGCAGCAGUAUCAAUACCAUCAACAUAGCAUAACGCCACCUAGUGGCAGCAUUGGUCCCACAUUUCGUGUCACGAACUACACGAGCUACAGCAGCGGCAACUUGAGCGCUGCACAGGCCACGCCCAUUGCCACCAUAAAGGGCCAACAGCAACGGCAGCGUCUGAAACGUGACCUAAACACGAGCAGCCUGAACGAGUUCCUUGAGGAUAAGCUACUCGGUCAGAAUGGACGCAGACAGCACGGCUGGAUCGAGACCUACGGCCAGCCGCACAAGGCCUUCUUCUAUGUGGAGCUCGUAUGCAAUGUUUGGUUCUUCAUCGAGGUUGUCAUCAGGCUAAUUGUUUCACCCAAUCUGUGGCAGUUCAUUAAGUCUCCCGUUAACAUUAUCGACUUUACGGCCACGUUGAGCUUCUAUACGGAUGUCAUGCAGCGCAUGGGCGAAUAUACGGGCCUGCUGGAGGCAUUUUCCAUAGUGCGCAUAAUGCGUCUCUUUAAGCUGACACGUCACUCGCCAGGACUACGCAUCCUUAUACACACGUUCAAGGCUUCGGCCAAGGAAUUGACUCUGCUCGUGUUCUUCCUCGUUCUCGGCAUCGUCUUCUUUGCCAGUUUGGCCUAUUAUGCGGAAAAAUUACAGGACAAUCCAGACAACCAAUUCAAGAGCAUACCAUUGGGCUUAUGGUGGGCCAUUGUUACCAUGACCACAGUGGGCUAUGGCGACGUGGCGCCCAAAACGUAUCCGGGCAUGUUUGUGGGCGCACUGUGCGCACUGGCUGGUGUCCUGACCAUAGCACUACCCGUACCUGUUAUCGUUAGCAAUUUCUCCAUGUUCUAUUCGCACACCCAGGCCCGCUCCAAGUUGCCCAAGAAACGCCGCCGAGUGCUGCCCGUGGAGCAGCCGCGUCGCAAACGGGAGCCGCCGGCACCGCAUCGAGGCCGGACCAAUGCCAUUAAACAGACAACGCCGACGGUGCCGGGCGUAGUAGGCGGCCAUACAACUAUACAGGCGCCUACGCCCAUGUUCAAGGAUGCAUUUGGCAGCGCCAAAAUUGGCAACGUGAACGGCGUGAAUGUCAUUGGCCUGCAUCUGCACAGGGCGCCGCCAACGACCUGCGCGGCCAACUGCCACACCCACGCGUAUGCAACAUACGCCCACAGUCACGGCCAAGCUCCGAGUGGCCAUGGCCAUGGGCCACAGGCGACGACGCUGAACGGCGCCACGGCCGCCAUGUCUGCGGGCUACACAGCAACAACGACGACGACGUCGACGCCGCUGCCGCCGCCGCUGCUGCUGUCGGCCGCUGGUGGUGCUGCUGCCCCUGCUCCUGCUCUUGCUCCUGGCCCCUCGUACAUCAGUUCGGACUACUUAAGCGUGCCGGCAGUUCAGAGUCUACAGCCGAGAGCGGCAACCACUGGACAUGAUUUUAUGCUGCCUCUACAGCCGAAACUUGUCGCGCCUCUGGAACGCAAAGAACAGCAUCCUUUGCAGCUGACCGCUCACAACUUGGCCUCGGAUACGCAUCAACUGUACGCCGGCCAUGCCCAUGGGCCCAAAGCAGGCACCGUACUAAAUGUGCCGCCCACCAUCAGCAUGACGCACACACAAAUGCCGCCGGGCAUGGCCAGCAUGGGGCAGCGCACACCGAAUCUCAGCUACCGGGCAACACAUACGCACACGCAUGCGCCCAUCCAGCAGCCCAUACCACAACACUAUCAGCACCUGGGCUCAUCAAGGUCAAGCGGUCUGGAGUCGACCAACUGCAAUAUCCAAAUCUCAGUAGCUGGUGCCGCUGGUGCUGCUUGUACAGAGGAACUGAAGGCGCCCAAAGUUACGCUUCUUGAUGAUCUGAGCGAUGAGGUUAACUCCUCAACGGAUGACUGCGCUGAUUGCUGCCUGGUGGAUGACAGUGAUACGUACGAGGCCAGCAAUAACAAUGGCUCCUGUGCGAAUCAGGAAGUCGAGCAGGAAAGCGCCACUGCCGAGGAUAGCGGUGACAGUUUGGGUGGCAUUUACAUUGGUCCCACCCAUUGAUUUUUGGCCAUUAAAUGGGAAUUUCCAUGCUAGGAAUUUAAUGACACAUAAAGGAAUACAAAAUAGAUUGCAUAUUGCAUUAAAAAGAAAAAACAUUUUUAUUUUGGAUUUUUGUUGACUAUGGGCAGAGCUGCACUAUAUUUGGGUAAACAACAGUUUCGAAGGGUCUAACUACAAAAUGCUUUUUCUCAGUGUAAUUUAUCAGACUACCACAUGCCUGAUUCUCUGGACCAGUCUGCGCAUUCUCACCACACAAUGCCGUGAGUGCCAAGUCAAAUGAAUUUCAUUGGAGAAUCUGAGCACAGAAAGCUCUGCACUGCUUAUAGAACAUAUAGUGCCGGGCCAGGCGAAGCAUCUGCAGCAUUCGAAUUGGAACCUACAUCAACAGCAAAGCGCUUGAAAUUCAAUUCGAAGGCCUUAAACAAUUUGAAGUUAUUAAAAGCAACGCGAAAAGUUUAAUUGGAACUGUUUGUGGCACUGGGGAGCAUAGAGCCACCAAAUAGAUGUGGCAUAGAGAGUGCCCACUACUUGCUGUUGCUAGCAGAUCCGUAGAUGUUUCACUGCGGACUGGCGCUAAGUGUGCGCAAUUGAAGGCAAUUGAGCAAUUUUGUAUGCUCAGAGCGUCAGAAGACGCAUUUGCAUAAAUACAUUUAUUUAAUAUUUAAAUUAGUUUCGUGGCAUUUCAGCCAUGCACUUAUGUAUACAACACCCCCCCACACUCGCCCCCAUGUGCCUGGUCUGCAGCAAUUCAUCCUGCGCCCGCACAUUUUUACUGAUAAUCCCCAUUGACGCCUAAGUAAUUGUCCUUGACGUGAGGCAAAUGCAGCCAUUCAGACAGAGCCAAGUGAAGUAGUAGCUACCGACUGCCAGUUUGGGUUGGCUUAAAGACAAUGAGGCCGGCAUCUGGAUUGGUCCUAAGUAAACCUAAUAUGAACAUCAAAUGCAAAUUGACAAGUUUGUUGGUUCAUUGUCGCGGCGGCUCCUGGCACAGGCAACGAGGCAUCCAUUUUAUUCGGCGCUCUCCUGGGUUGAAGGAUUCUAGGACUCCAAACGAUUUUAAGGACAUUUACGAAUCUAACGAGUCUAUUCCUUCCAGGAUCGGACGUAUUUUAAGCUAGAUAUAGCCAUUUUAUGCUAAAAUCGAAAAUCAUGCAAAAAACAACCAAUUUGUAAAUUUUA
Molecule: RNA transcript, 4506 nt
Organism: Drosophila virilis
Lineage: Eukaryota; Metazoa; Arthropoda; Insecta; Diptera; Drosophilidae
Gene: Shawl
Gene name: Shaw-like
Source: RefSeq, a predicted model, not a curated record